This 375-nucleotide ribosomal RNA is filed under the name uncultured bacterium. RNAcentral describes it as "bacterial SSU rRNA". It matches the Rfam family "Bacterial small subunit ribosomal RNA", at positions 523 to 898 of the family's 1533-position model. The record is from RNAcentral.
AUACAUAGGGUGCAAGCGUUAAUCGGAAUUACUGGGCGUAAAGGGUGCGCAGGCGGCUAAGCAAGAACGGUGUGAAAUCCCGGGGCUCAACCUCGGAACUGCACUAUUAACUGCUUAGCUAGAGUAUGUCAGAGGGGGGUGGAAUUCCGCGUGUAGCAGUGAAAUGCGUAGAUAUGCGGAGGAACACCGAUGGCGAAGGCAGCCCCCUGGGAUAGUACUGACGCUCAGGCACGAAAGCGUGGGUAGCAAACAGGAUUAGAUACCCUGGUAGUCCACGCCCUAAACGAUGUCAACUAGCUGUUGGGAGGGUUACCUCUUAGUAGCGCAGCUAACGCGUGAAGUUGACCGCCUGGGGACUACGGUCGCAAGACUAAA